CAGCAUAUUCGUGUCCCGUGAGCAAAACGCACAAAACGUCUAGUUUUAAACUAACGUCGAAAUUCUGCUGAGAUUGGUCAAAUUCCGCUCGGAUACUUAAAACGCCCAUUUACAGGAAAAUGCGUAUUCGCUUAUUGAGCAUCUCAACCAGGAAAAGUGUCGUGGAAUUUUCUAGUUCUAUUGUCAACACUCGCCUUUCAGCUCAGUAUUGGUUUGAGCGUGCGUACUGAAGUGCGUCCGGUCAUGUAUUUUCACUUUAAUAGACCUGUUUUGAAUCCCGACCAAACUAAACCGGUAGCUACUUGCAUCGGUCCAUUCCUUAUUGGAAAAAAUUUAAAAAGUCCUUGCGGUUACUAUUAUAGCAAUGCGUCAUACUGCAUUAAUUGUUAUACACAUGGGUGCAGUGAAUUCAGUAGAUCUACGAAUGUAACUAAACAUCUCAAUGUUCCAAAAGGAAACGUCAAUCUGGAGAACGUUCUGGGAACAAAUGGAACCUUGUACUUGGAUUUGGGAGUGCUGUCAUGUUCACUUAUAGCGCCACAUUUCCUCCAGAAGUAUGCAAAACCGUGUGAAGUGCGUGAAAGGCCAAAUGAUGCACAAUUCGCUUUGUCAAUAUAGAAGUGAAACAGAACCAUACGUAGUAAUUACCAGAACUACAUACCCAAUUACUUUGCCAACUACACCUACAACUGGACCACCAAAUGUUUCUUAUUCACCCCAACCGAAUUUUUCUUUGACCACACAGCUACAUCGG
RNAcentral lists this long non-coding RNA (754 nucleotides) under Daphnia magna. Its description in RNAcentral is "uncharacterized LOC116930977, transcript variant X1". The record is from RNAcentral. Lineage: Eukaryota; Metazoa; Arthropoda; Branchiopoda; Diplostraca; Daphniidae.